UACGAAGGGGGCGAGCGUUGUUCGGAUUUACUGGGCGUAAAGGGCGCGCAGGCGGCUCAUUUUGUCAGGCGUGAAAGCCCCGGGCUUAACCUGGGAGGUGCGUUUGAUACGGAUGGGCUAGAGUUCGGGAGAGGAGAGUGGAAUUCCCAGUGUAGAGGUGAAAUUCGUAGAUAUUGGGAAGAACACCGGUGGCGAAGGCGGCUCACUGGCCCGAUACUGACGCUGAGGCACGAAAGCGUGGGGAGCAAACAGG
RNAcentral lists this ribosomal RNA (253 nucleotides) under uncultured bacterium. RNAcentral's name for it is "partial 16S ribosomal RNA". It matches the Rfam family "Bacterial small subunit ribosomal RNA", at positions 524 to 776 of the family's 1533-position model. The record is from RNAcentral.